GACGAACGCUGGCGGCGUGCUUAACACAUGCAAGUCGAACGGAAAGGCCCGGCUUUUGUGGGGUGCUCGAGUGGCGAACGGGUGAGUAACACGUGAGUAACCUGCCCUUGACUUUGGGAUAACUUCAGGAAACUGGGGCUACUACCGGAUAUGAGCUCCUGCUGCAUGGUGGGGGUUGGAAAGUUUCGGCGGUUGGGGAUGGACUCGGGGCUUAUCAGCUUGUUGGUGGGGUAGUGGCUUACCAAGGCUUCGACGGGUAGCCGGCCUGAGAGGGUGACCGGCCACAUGGGGACGGAGCUACGGCCCGGAGUCGUAGGGGAGGCAGCAGUGGGGACUAUUGCACAAUGGGCGGAAGCCGGGUGCAGCAUGACCGCGUGCGGGAUGACGGCCUUCGGGUGGUAAACGGCUUUCACCUGUGACGAAGCGUGGGGAAGGGAAAUGGGUAAGAAGACACGGGCAAACUACGG
RNAcentral lists this ribosomal RNA (467 nucleotides) under uncultured bacterium. RNAcentral describes it as "partial 16S ribosomal RNA". It matches the Rfam family "Bacterial small subunit ribosomal RNA", at positions 28 to 506 of the family's 1533-position model. The record is from RNAcentral.